GAAGAAACCUUAUUCCUUACAAGCCAGUUGGGUAGCUUUGGCUUCAGGUCUUAAGAGCACAUGAAACAUUCCCCCUGAGGUACUUUAAUUGGGUCUACAGAGGAAAUACAUUUUUGUUUCUGUGAAAUGUCCCAGUGACCCAGCCAUGCCAGAGAUAACAGCAGUUCUUUGGCAGCUGCAUGUUUUGCUUUUAUGGAUCCAGUUAGGUUGCCCUUUGAUUUGUUUGAUUAUCUGAGAGUGUUUUGGGGAAAACAUCUUGUUUUUAGAAGUGCUCUGAUAUCUCUGGAUCAGUCAGACCAUGUGCUGGUCGGUAAAUGGCCAAACAUAUUGUCUGGGAAGAGAGUCAUUGCACCUGAGCGGAGCUCUGGGACUGCCAGUGCCCAGAGAAGAAGAAAGUCUGAGAGGUUUGGAGAAGGCAGCUUGUGGAUCUCUUCUUCCUCCUUCCUGGGGCUCAGCCCUACUCACCUGCUGCUAUGAUUUGGCUCUGAUCUUAAAUAAAAGCCACACAAUUGGUGAAAAGUCUAUCAAUCAGUGCUCUUGUCAUGUCACUAUUUCAAAAGGUCUGCCUUUUAAGAAGCACCAUCCAGGAACACUGCUCAGCCUUCAGGGAGCUGCUCAGCUAGACCAUGGUUGCCUGUGA
Molecule: long non-coding RNA, 640 nt
Organism: Pezoporus occidentalis (night parrot)
Lineage: Eukaryota; Metazoa; Chordata; Aves; Psittaciformes; Psittacidae
Exons: 3
Source: RefSeq, a predicted model, not a curated record